GACGAACGCUGGCGGCGUGCUUAACACAUGCAAGUCGAACGGAAAGGCCUGCUUUCCCUUGUGGAUUGCGGGUACUCGAGUGGCGAACGGGUGAGUAACACGUGAGUGAUCUGCCCCCAACUUGGGUAUAAGCCUGGGAAACUGGGUCUAAUUCCCGAUAGGACUGCAGGGUGGUGCCUGUGGUGGAAAACGAUUUUCUAGUGGUUGGGGAUGAGCUCGCGGCCUAUCAGCUUGUUGGUGGGGUAAUGGCCUACCAAGGCGGCGACGGGUAGCCGGCCUGAGAGGGUGGACGGCCACAUUGGGACUGAGAUACGGCCCCGACUCCUACGGGCGGCAGCAGUGGGGAAUAUUGCACAAUGGGCGGAAGCCUGAUGCAGCGACGCCGCGUGGGGGAUGACGGCCUUCGGGUUGUAAACUCCUUUCGACCGCGAGGAAGCCACCUGGUUGGAAGGGUGGUGACGGUAGUGGUAGAAGAAGCACCGGCUAACUACGUG
RNAcentral lists this ribosomal RNA (494 nucleotides) under uncultured bacterium. RNAcentral describes it as "partial 16S ribosomal RNA". It matches the Rfam family "Bacterial small subunit ribosomal RNA", at positions 28 to 507 of the family's 1533-position model. The record is from RNAcentral.